Molecule: long non-coding RNA, 323 nt
Organism: Agrilus planipennis (emerald ash borer)
Lineage: Eukaryota; Metazoa; Arthropoda; Insecta; Coleoptera; Buprestidae
Exons: 3
Source: RefSeq, a predicted model, not a curated record
GCAGUGUGACAAAUUUCAAUGGAACAUCCAUUUCAUCAUUAUCAUUUGCAGGGAAUGCAAGCCUAUUUUGAAAUGGAUUUUCAGCCGAUGUUGUUCACUGACAAAUUUGCUUCAUGCGGGAUAUUUUCAAUUUUUUGCAAUAAUCAGUACCUACUGAUGCGACGCAAAUUCGCAUGUGGUACAUCCUUUGCGAUUUCAAGAAUUGUUUGCUGUAAAUAUUUGAUGUGAAAUUUUUGAAGACUUAUUUACCUUUUUUGAGAGUGGAUUAGGCCUAUGGGGAUAAAACGCGCUUCAUUAUUUACUUCAAUAAGCGGUGAGGAAAA